Molecule: long non-coding RNA, 883 nt
Organism: Gossypium arboreum
Lineage: Eukaryota; Viridiplantae; Streptophyta; Magnoliopsida; Malvales; Malvaceae
Exons: 2
Source: RefSeq, a predicted model, not a curated record
UGCAUCUUUAAAGAGUGUUUGUGCUAAUUUUAUUGAUUUAUUUGCUAUCAAAUUUUCUAGUAUUCUUGCACUUAGUUAACAAACAUUAUUUGUGAGAGUUAAAAUUGUUUGUAAGUUAGGUGUUUAGGUGAGUGGUUGUAAUAAGUUGGAGCUAUAUAUUGGGGCUACAAUUGUUUCUGUUAUAAGCGUAGAUUGAACUUUGGCCAAUAAGUGGUUGGAUCAAUUGUUGAAUAAACAUUCAUUGAUGGUAUCAGAGGAGGCUUCAAGAGUUGGUUGAAGACGAUCCUAGCAUAAUUGCUACCAUGGAGGCUAUGAAAGAAGGAAGUUUUAUUUCUCGAGCACCUCUUCAUGUUGGAUCUUCAAACUAUGCUUAAUAGAAAUCUCGGAUGAGAGAUUUUAUUAUGUUUAUUAAUGAAGAUACAUGGAAAGCUAUUGAAGAAGGAUGGACAAAGCCUGAGGUGAUUAAUGAUGAUGGAGUUGUUGGAAUGAUGGUACGCUCCGUGGCGUAGCAAGAAAAUAAUUUUACUGAUCACAACUCAUGAAUCCAUGUACAAGGAAUGAACCUGUUUUGAAAAGGUUGCAAAUAUACCUCAAACGAUUUGAAAAAGAAAAAAAAACACUAGUAUGGGUUGAAAACUCUGUCACGGUCGCAAACCUCGGCAGCAAUGAAAGCAUCCUAGGUUCUAUGUGAUCCACCCGGUAAACCCUCUCAAAAACCCUUUUAAAGAGUUUUGCUCAAAAUGAAUAUCAAAAGUGCUAGUUGUGUAUCAAAUAGGGUAAGUCAAGGGGUGGUAUUAGAUUGAUUGAUUUCCUUUCUUUUUUAUUUAAAAAUGUUUUAAAUGCCAAGAUUAAAUGAUUAAUGUCCUUUCCUUUUAUUGAAAAA